This 148-nucleotide small RNA is filed under the name Pongo abelii (Sumatran orangutan). Its description in RNAcentral is "Metazoan signal recognition particle RNA (ENSPPYG00000040342.1)". The record is from Rfam by way of RNAcentral. Lineage: Eukaryota; Metazoa; Chordata; Mammalia; Primates; Hominidae.
GCCAGGCGCAGUGGCGCAUGCCUGGAGUCCCAGCUACUUAGGAGGCUGAGGUGGGAGGACUGCUUGAGCCCAGGAGGUCGAGGCUGCAGUGAGCUGUCACUGUGCCACUGCACUCCAGCCUGGGCAACAGAGCAAGACCCUGUCUCAA